GGGUAAAGCAUUGAUAUCAAUAUAUUUGUUCUUGGCAUGGGCUUCACUUGGACUUCUGGUUGUUUUUGUGGACAGUGUAUUCACGUGAUGCUUGGGUCUGAUGAUUAUGAUUAUAAGAGAAUACUAGGUAGACAGUUCUGUCCAACAGUUGACUUAAUCAUGUUAAAGAUAUGCCUAGCUUCAACCUUUGUUCUCUUGCUGGGACACCUGGGCUUACAGUUCACUUUUGUUUGUUCUUGCAGCCUGAUUUCCAGAUAUAUGCAGGUCAAUGGACUGACUCAGCCUGUCCUCCUGCCACACCCCCCUGGGAGCCUUUGUCAUUGGUCAGCACUUUCUUCUGAAGGAGGUGGGCUCACCAUCAGUCUGGGUGUGUGCAGUAGAAAUCAGGACAAUGAUUCUGCCACAGGGAUGGUGUCAUCCAGCAGCUAGAGGCUAAAAAGGGGCACUCUACAAACCGACUGAACGCAUAAUGAGUUAUAAUCAGAAACACAAGCAAAUUGAAGCAAAACUGUGACUGUCAACAAUGAGUUGGAACAUUAUAUUCUCAGUUCAGCGAAG
This 558-nucleotide long non-coding RNA is filed under the name Capra hircus (goat). Its description in RNAcentral is "lncRNA (ENSCHIG00000000932.1)". Lineage: Eukaryota; Metazoa; Chordata; Mammalia; Artiodactyla; Bovidae. The record is from RNAcentral.